Lolium perenne is the source of this 627-nucleotide non-coding RNA. The record is from RefSeq and is a predicted model, not a curated record. Lineage: Eukaryota; Viridiplantae; Streptophyta; Magnoliopsida; Poales; Poaceae.
AGACGGGGCUGGGAAGAGAGACCGGCAUGGCUGGCUGGCGGCUGCUGCUGGGGAAGAAGGCAAGGAGGGGGAACCGGGCCAGCUCCUUCAGGGUCCUUCAGAGUAUUGCUGCGGUAGCUCAUUGAAAGAGUGCCUGAUCUAGUUGCAUCCCAGUUGGGGGUGUAUGCAACUAAUGCAAUGUCAGCAUCAACUCAUCCUAUGAGUUGUCCCAGUUGCUUAUUUGUGAUAUUGCUAAGUUGUACCGAGAAGCGGUGAAUCCCGGGAGGCGUAGCUAGUACCAUCUCAAGCGUGGUAGUGGAGGAGACCAUGGCGCCUAACUCGAGCAGGCACGGCGCCAUCAUGCCUAGCGCAAGCGCAAGCGCGCCGUUGCCCCUAUCCAAGUAGUUGCAGUUUCCAGUGAAAUCCAGAUCUUCAUAGAGAUCCGGAGGAGGAAUAAGAGAUGAAAGUUUCGUCUUGCAGAACAAGUAUUUGGAGGAGCAAAUUGAUGAUUUCUCCAUCACCUGUAACCUCCUUUUUUGCUGGCCGGAUGUUGAAUCAGCCAAACCAGCACCCGGAUGCUAGGAUGAAGAAACCAGCACUUGGAUGCUGGGAUGAACAAACCAGCACCGGAUGCUGGCUAGCCGCCUC